CCUACGGGUGGCUGCAGUGAGGAAUAUUGGUCAAUGGACGAGAGUCUGAACCAGCCAAGUAGCGUGAAGGAUGACUGCCCGAUGGGUUGUAAACUUCGUUUAUAAAGGAAUAAAACGAGGCACGUGUGCCUUUGUGCAUGUACUUUAUGAAUAAGGAUCGGCUAACUCCGUGCCAGCAGCCGCGGUAAUACGGAGGAUCCGAGCGUUAUCCGGAUUUAUUGGGGUGAAAGGGAGCGUAGAUGGGUUGGUAAGUCAGUUUUGAAAGUUUGCGGCUCAACCGUAAAAUUGCAAUUGAUACUGGCAGUCUUGAGUACAGUUGCGGUAGGCGUAAUUCGUGUUGUAGCGGUGACAUGCU
Molecule: ribosomal RNA, 355 nt
Filed under: uncultured bacterium
Lineage: Bacteria
Description: partial 16S ribosomal RNA
Rfam family: Bacterial small subunit ribosomal RNA
Source: RNAcentral